UACAUAAGUGGUGACACCUCAAGCUGUCCU
Molecule: non-coding RNA, 30 nt
Filed under: Mus musculus (house mouse)
Lineage: Eukaryota; Metazoa; Chordata; Mammalia; Rodentia; Muridae
Source: RNAcentral